Non-coding RNA from Fukomys damarensis (Damara mole-rat), 54 nucleotides. Lineage: Eukaryota; Metazoa; Chordata; Mammalia; Rodentia; Bathyergidae. The record is from Rfam.
AAUGUGGAAGUGGUCUGAGGCAUAUAGAGCAAUAUGCCAAGAACACUACCAUAU